GUGCUCACUUUGGCAGCACAUAUACUAAAACUGGAACAAUACAGAUAAGACUAGCAUGGCCCCUGUGCAAGGAUGACAUGUAAAAUCAUGAAGCAUUCCAUAUUUAU
Suncus etruscus (white-toothed pygmy shrew) is the source of this 107-nucleotide small nuclear RNA. Lineage: Eukaryota; Metazoa; Chordata; Mammalia; Eulipotyphla; Soricidae. The record is from RefSeq and is a predicted model, not a curated record.